UAACUGUCAGGCCAUAUUAAGCCACAGUACGGAAGAAGCUGUGCUGCCUGUGAGCCCCGUCCAAGGACGUUAAAAGAAGAAGUCAGGCCCCAAAGCCACGGUUUGAGCAAACCGUGCUGCCUGUAGCUCCGUCGU
RNAcentral lists this long non-coding RNA (135 nucleotides) under dengue virus type 3. RNAcentral's name for it is "Dengue virus type 3 partial sfRNA1". The record is from RNAcentral. Lineage: Riboviria; Orthornavirae; Kitrinoviricota; Flasuviricetes; Amarillovirales; Flaviviridae.